UUAAUUAUGAGCAUUUGUAGCAUUCUUGAUAUCACUUCUUAAUGGAAGAGCGCUGUUGUGGGGUAAGGCCAUAUGGAACGCUAAUAGUGCCAUAAUUAAUUCCUAUGAUGCCUUCACUAACCAUU
Molecule: long non-coding RNA, 125 nt
Organism: Sinocyclocheilus grahami
Lineage: Eukaryota; Metazoa; Chordata; Actinopteri; Cypriniformes; Cyprinidae
Exons: 3
Source: RefSeq, a predicted model, not a curated record